CCCUUAGAUGUUCUGGGCCGUACGCGUGCUACACUGAGUGGAUCAGCGGGUCAGGUUGCGCGAAAGUGUUUCCUAAUCUUGAAAUCCGCUCGUGAUGGGGAUUGACGGUUGCAAUUUUCCGUCAUGAACGAGGAAUACCUUGUAAGCGCGGGUCAUCAUCCCGCGCUGAAUACGUCCCUGCCCUUUGUACACACCGCCCGUCGCUCCUACCGAUUGAGUGGUCCGGUGAGGCUUUGGGAUCUGAGCAAAGAGAGCGUUUCGCUCGUUUUGCCCGGAAAACUCAGUCGAACCUUAUCAUUUAGAGGAAGGAGAAGUCGUAACA
This 322-nucleotide ribosomal RNA is filed under the name uncultured eukaryote. Its description in RNAcentral is "partial 18S ribosomal RNA". It matches the Rfam family "Eukaryotic small subunit ribosomal RNA", at positions 1470 to 1796 of the family's 1831-position model. The record is from RNAcentral.